Molecule: ribosomal RNA, 464 nt
Filed under: uncultured bacterium
Lineage: Bacteria
Description: bacterial SSU rRNA
Rfam family: Bacterial small subunit ribosomal RNA
Source: RNAcentral
CCAGACUCCUACGGGAGGCAGCAGUGAGGAAUAUUGGUCAAUGGGCGGGAGCCUGAACCAGCCAAGUCGCGUGAGGGAAGACGGUCCUAUGGAUUGUAAACCUCUUUUGUCAGGGAGCAACGCCGGCUACGUGUAGCCGGACUGAGAGUACCUGAAGAAAAAGCAUCGGCUAACUCCGUGCCAGCAGCCGCGGUAAUACGGAGGAUGCGAGCGUUAUCCGGAUUUAUUGGGUUUAAAGGGUGCGUAGGCGGGCUUUUAAGUCAGCGGUAAAAAUUCGGGGCUCAACCCCGUCCGGCCGUUGAAACUGGCGUUCUUGAGUGGGCGAGAAGUAUGCGGAAUGCGUGGUGUAGCGGUGAAAUGCAUAGAUAUCACGCAGAACUCCGAUUGCGAAGGCAGCAUACCGGCGCCCAACUGACGCUGAAGCACGAAAGCGUGGGUAUCGAACAGGAUUAGAUACCCGUGUA